UGAACGAGUAGAAGCGUUCAGCCUGCAUCCGCGUGCAGUGCCCGGAAAUUGCUCAAGUC
Molecule: non-coding RNA, 59 nt
Organism: Comamonas thiooxydans
Lineage: Bacteria; Pseudomonadati; Pseudomonadota; Betaproteobacteria; Burkholderiales; Comamonadaceae
Source: Rfam